RNAcentral lists this ribosomal RNA (253 nucleotides) under uncultured bacterium. RNAcentral describes it as "partial 16S ribosomal RNA". It matches the Rfam family "Bacterial small subunit ribosomal RNA", at positions 524 to 776 of the family's 1533-position model. The record is from RNAcentral.
UACGUAGGGAGCAAGCGUUGUCCGGAAUUACUGGGCGUAAAGGGUGCGUAGGCGGCGCAGUUAGUCAGAAGUGAAAUAUCGGGGCUUAACUCCGGGACUGCUUCUGAUACUGCUGUGCUCGAGUGCAGGAGAGGUAAGUGGAAUUCCUAGUGUAGCGGUGAAAUGCGUAGAUAUUAGGAGGAACACCAGUGGCGAAGGCGACUUACUGGACUGUAACUGACGCUGAGGCACGAAAGCGUGGGUAGCAAACAGG